This 204-nucleotide ribosomal RNA is filed under the name uncultured bacterium. RNAcentral describes it as "partial 16S ribosomal RNA". It matches the Rfam family "Bacterial small subunit ribosomal RNA", at positions 28 to 234 of the family's 1533-position model. The record is from RNAcentral.
GAUGAACGCUGACAGAAUGCUUAACACAUGCAAGUCGAUUCGAUUUACCUUCGGGUAUUGAGGAUGGCGGACGGGUGAGUAACGCGUAAGGAACUUGCCUCUUGGACUGGGACAACUGUUGGAAACGACAGCUAAUACCGGAUAUUAUGAGAUUCUCGCAUGGGAAACUUAUGAAAGCUAAUAUGCGCCAAGAGAGAGCCUUGC